UGGGGAAUAUUGGACAAUGGGCGAAAGCCUGAUCCAGCGACGCCGCGUGAGUGAUGAAGGCCUUAGGGUUGUAAAGCUCUUUCAGUAGGGAAGAUAAUGACGGUACCUACAGAAGAAGCCCCGGCUAACUUCGUGCCAGCAGCCGCGGUAAUACGAAGGGGGCUAGCGUUACUCGGAAUUAUUGGGCGUAAAGCGUGCGCAGGCUGUUUGGUAAGUUGGAAGUGAAAGCCCAAAGCUUAACUUUGGAAUUGCUUUCAAAACUGCCUUACUAGAGUACUGAAUGGGAUAGCGGAAUUCCUAGUGUAGAGGUGAAAUUCGUAGAUAUUAGGAGGAACACCGGUGGCGAAGGCGGCUAUCUGGUCAGAUACUGACGCUGUUGCACGAAAGCGUGGGGAGCAAA
This 400-nucleotide ribosomal RNA is filed under the name uncultured bacterium. RNAcentral's name for it is "bacterial SSU rRNA". It matches the Rfam family "Bacterial small subunit ribosomal RNA", at positions 355 to 772 of the family's 1533-position model. The record is from RNAcentral.